AAGUAGGGGAUCGUAAGACCUUGCGCUUUUGGAGCGGCCGAUGUCUGAUUAGCUAGUUGGUGGGGUAAUGGCCUACCAAGGCUUCGAUCAGUAGCUGGUCUGAGAGGACGGCCAGCCACACUGGGACUGAGACACGGCCCAGACUCCUACGGGAGGCAGCAGUGGGGAAUUUUGGACAAUGGGCGCAAGCCUGAUCCAGCCAUGCCGCGUGAGUGAAGAAGGCCUUCGGGUUGUAAAGCUCUUUCAGCCGGGAAGAAAAGGUUGCGAUUAAUAAUCGCAAUUCAUGACGGUACCGAAAGAAGAAGCACCGGCUAACUACGUGCCAGCAGCCGCGGUAAUACGUAGGGUGCGAGCGUUAAUCGGAAUUACUGGGCGUAAAGGGUGCGCAGGCGGUUUUGUAAGUCAGAUGUGAAAUCCCCGGGCUUAACCUGGGAACUGCGUUUGAAACUACAAAGCUAGAGU
This 462-nucleotide ribosomal RNA is filed under the name uncultured ammonia-oxidizing beta proteobacterium. Its description in RNAcentral is "bacterial SSU rRNA". It matches the Rfam family "Bacterial small subunit ribosomal RNA", at positions 202 to 647 of the family's 1533-position model. Lineage: Bacteria; Pseudomonadati; Pseudomonadota; Betaproteobacteria. The record is from RNAcentral.